This is a long non-coding RNA of Piliocolobus tephrosceles (Ugandan red Colobus), 659 nucleotides long. RefSeq lists it as uncharacterized. NCBI's taxonomy places the organism in Eukaryota, Metazoa, Chordata, Mammalia, Primates, Cercopithecidae. The transcript has 2 exons. The record is from RefSeq and is a predicted model, not a curated record.
AGACGGGGUGUCACUAUGUUGCCCAGGCUGGUCUCCAACUCCUGGACUCAAGUGAUCUGCCUGUCUCAGCCUCUCAAAGGGCUGGGAUAACAGAUGUAAGCUACUGCACCUGGCCUCCAAUGAGUUGUUAUGUGAAGAGAACAUGAUUGUAGAAGUUAGAGGACUGCAACCAGGCCUGAACUCUCAAGGACAGAAAUGGGUCCAACCUGGCAUGACAUCCUCUAAAUCUUUAGCUCCCGGCCCCUCAGGUGCCCCCUCCAGCUACCUCCCUCUUCCUUCUCCUCAUUCCCCAAGCCAUAGCUGGUUGGGCCAACCUCCAGACAUUAGCCUGUUUGCAAACUCCUAUUCAUCCCUCAAAGCCUCACCUUCAAUGCUCUCCUCCCCAAGAAGCUCUCUCUCCUCUACCUCUAGACCUUCUCCAGCCCUCUUCCCUCUUUCUGGCCUAGCCCUGACCCCUGCGAGUGCCUGUGUGCAGCUUUGACUCCUCCAGCCUGAGUGUUCCUCAAGGGUUGAGACCAGAGCCAAUGUUUCCCUAGAGUUUGUCACCUUGCAGCACAGAGUGGACCCAUGGGGGUCAGGCAAAGGAGAGUUUGAUGACUCAAUAUUAUCGGUGAUUUUGCAUCACUUGAAGGAGACCCUGCCUUAAAUUCAGAACUUGA